CCUACGGGAGGCUGCAGUGGGGAAUAUUGCACAAUGGGGGAAACCCUGAUGCAGCGACGCCGCGUGAGUGAAGAAGUAUUUCGGUAUGUAAAGCUCUAUCAGCAGGGAAGAAAAAAGACGGUUCCUGACUAAGAAGCCCCGGCUAACUACGUGCCAGCAGCCGCGGUAAUACGUAGGGGGCAAGCGUUAUCCGGAUUUACUGGGUGUAAAGGGAGGGUAGACGGCGCGGCAAGUCUGAAGUGAAAGGCAGGGGCUUAACCCCUGAACUGCUUUGGAAACUGGCAAACUGGAGUGUGUGAGAGGAUAGUGGAAUUCCAGGUGUAGGAGUGAAAUCCGUAGAUAUCUGGAGGAACAUCAGUGGCGAAGGCGACUAUCUGGCACAUAACUGACGCUGAGGAGCGAAAGCGUGGGUAGCAAACAGGAUUAGAUACCCCUGUAGUC
This 441-nucleotide ribosomal RNA is filed under the name uncultured bacterium. RNAcentral's name for it is "partial 16S ribosomal RNA". It matches the Rfam family "Bacterial small subunit ribosomal RNA", at positions 338 to 795 of the family's 1533-position model. The record is from RNAcentral.